Molecule: long non-coding RNA, 752 nt
Organism: Glycine soja
Lineage: Eukaryota; Viridiplantae; Streptophyta; Magnoliopsida; Fabales; Fabaceae
Exons: 2
Source: RefSeq, a predicted model, not a curated record
UUUAAUGGGUGAAAUACCAAAAGAGGUCGGAUAUUUGCUUGGGUUAGGUUCUUUGAAUCUAUCAAGAAACAAUUUGAGUGGAGAAAUUCCUUCUCAGAUUGGGAAUUUAAGUUCACUAGAAUCACUUGACUUGUCAAGAAAUCACAUCUCUGGGAAAAUUCCUCCUUCUCUUUCUGAAAUUGAUUUUUUGGGAAAAUUAGACUUGUCACACAACUCUCUUUCUGGAAGAAUCCCAUCAGGAAGACAUUUUGAAACCUUUGAAGCCUCUAGUUUUGAAGGAAACAUUGAUCUUUGUGGCAAACAACUUAACAAAACUUGUCCUGGGGAUGGAGAUCAGACAACAGAAGAGCAUCAAGAACCACCAGUCAAUGGUGAUGAUUCAGUUUUCUAUGAGGGAUUAUACAUGAGCUUGGGGAUUGGAUACUUCACUGGAUUUUGGGGCUUAUUAGGGUCAUUACUACUGUGGCGUCCUUGGAGAAUUGUUUACAUCAGGAUUCUGAACAGAUUAACAGUAUAUGUAUGCUUAUGGUGAAUGUUGGAAGUGUUAGCUCCAAGGCAAAAAGAUGUGCUGCACGCUUCUGAACAGAGAAGAAAGCAUUGUUGGCUGCUACAAGUGCGAGAUAUUUCUUUAGUAUAGGAGUUUACAAUGUUUUCUAUUUAAGUAAUGAACUGGAAAGUCUUGUUUCCAGAAACUUAGUAUGCUAUUGUAUUUCAUUGUAUAAUAUAUUUGUAAUGCUGUUUAUUUUUCAUUA